Molecule: unclassified non-coding RNA, 1537 nt
Filed under: Bombus terrestris (buff-tailed bumblebee)
Lineage: Eukaryota; Metazoa; Arthropoda; Insecta; Hymenoptera; Apidae
Description: misc RNA ENSBTSG00005025136.1
Source: RNAcentral
ACAGGCCAAAUGUAUUGGUUUUACGUGGGCGUACGGUGUAAUAUAUAAAUCAUAAAUCACGGUGAACCAGAAAAUAUAUCACGAUAAGCGGACAGGUUACGUUAUGUGAUGUACAUAUGUCAUAAGAAGAAGGAAGCUCUCACAUCGCUAAAGUGAUGUGAUUCAAAUCGUUUUGACAGAAUGCAUGGUGACCGAUUGUUUGAUAUAAAUGGAAUUCUACCGUAACAACAAGUGCAGCUGGUUACCGAACGCAUUCGACUGUUCUGCAUAUAAGAAGAGAAUGAGGUCGUUCGGGAAGAGAUACGGAAGGAUGAUUGACGAAGACCUACCGCAACCUUCGCUUGGAUCUGUUCAGCUAAAUUCGCCUAUAUGCCGACACUUGUCAGGUUCAGUGGAUAUUUCGAGGCGUUGUUACUGAUGAUACCAGAAUGGCGCUUGCAAACCGCAAUGACAACCACGCACCAGGUUGGCUGAAAUGACACCGCAGUGUCGGUGCUAUGAAUACUGCUGCUGUUGUGGCUAACGAGAGCAUUUAAGAUCUGACGGUCCUUUAGACACCAGUCGUUGAGGCUUAUGUUACCAUUUCUAGCCAUGAAAAGUCCAUUUCUUCUUUCUUCCAGAACCUAAGCUUUCUUUUCAUAUCCUGCGCUGUGAAAUCCAUUUCUAUUUUUUAUUACCUCCCGUACUUUUCAUUUUAAGAUUAUUAUACUCCAAUUUUUAAUAAACUUCACAAUGAGAGGUUAAGGAAUCUUCUGCAAAUUGACUUCCUCCUUUUCGACCGAAUUCAAGUAAUCGUGGUUCUAUUAACGAAAAUAUAUUUCACAUCUGUUCACAUUUAUUCGAAACUUGUACGAAAUCCUAUUCACUUUACAUCUACGACCAUUUCUUCCUUGGCAAAAUCUCUAUUUAUAAAUUUCUUUUAAACGAAAUAGCAAUGUAGUGUAAAAUAUUCGUUUCUUUUUAUAGUAUCAAAAAAUGAGAGAGGAGGUUUUUAGAGAACAAAUAAUGAUACCGAAUCCUUUCCUUCAUAAUAAUUGCAACCUUCAAGCAACUGAAAUGUUAUUUUAUUCUCAACCACGAAGUAAACAAUUUUCUUUAAAUAAGUCAUUUGAAAUAUUAUAGAAACAUUCUCGUUAAUCCUAACUACAUCAUUAAUUAUUUACAUUAAUUUAAUAUCAGACAUCGUGAGACGCAUAUUCAAACAUGUUUUAUUGUUAAUGUUAAAACAGCUUUAACUCAUAUUUUAUAGCAAAGAACACGAUAGCCAAGGCAGCAUCUCUUUUGCGUAAGAAACUGUUAAUUGGUCCGUAUCUAGUUAGGAAAUGUACACAUUAAGAGAUGAGCACGGUGUGCUGAGAUCGUAUUUGUUUGCUCACAUUGUAUGGCGAGUAGUAUAAAUCAAACUGCAUGUUAUCAUCUCUCGCUGCGUCAUCGGUCAAUCUCAAUAUUUGCAAAUAUAAUGCAAUGUGCAAAGCAUUUGUGCUUGUGCUCAGAUCAGAGGAUACGUGUGUAUGUUGUCUUGGAACAUGUUACGUGC